Molecule: ribosomal RNA, 845 nt
Filed under: uncultured bacterium
Lineage: Bacteria
Description: bacterial SSU rRNA
Rfam family: Bacterial small subunit ribosomal RNA
Source: RNAcentral
AGUCGAGCGAGCUUGCCUAGAUGAUUUUAGUGCUUGCACUAAAUGAAACUAGAUACAAGCGAGCGGCGGACGGGUGAGUAACACGUGGGUAACCUGCCCAAGAGACUGGGAUAACACCUGGAAACAGAUGCUAAUACCGGAUAACAACACUAGACGCAUGUCUAGAGUUUGAAAGAUGGUUCUGCUAUCACUCUUGGAUGGACCUGCGGUGCAUUAGCUAGUUGGUAAGGUAACGGCUUACCAAGGCAAUGAUGCAUAGCCGAGUUGAGAGACUGAUCGGCCACAUUGGGACUGAGACACGGCCCAAACUCCUACGGGAGGCAGCAGUAGGGAAUCUUCCACAAUGGACGAAAGUCUGAUGGAGCAACGCCGCGUGAGUGAAGAAGGGUUUCGGCUCGUAAAGCUCUGUUGGUAGUGAAGAAAGAUAGAGGUAGUAACUGGCCUUUAUUUGACGGUAAUUACUUAGAAAGUCACGGCUAACUACGUGCCAGCAGCCGCGGUAAUACGUAGGUGGCAAGCGUUGUCCGGAUUUAUUGGGCGUAAAGCGAGUGCAGGCGGUUCAAUAAGUCUGAUGUGAAAGCCUUCGGCUCAACCGGAGAAUUGCAUCAGAAACUGUUGAACUUGAGUGCGGAAGAGGAGAGUGGAACUCCAUGUGUAGCGGUGGAAUGCGUAGAUAUUAGGAGGAACACCAGUGGCGAAGGCGGCUUACUGGACCGUAACUGACGUUGAGGCUCGAAAGCGUGGGGAGCAAACAGGAUUAGAUACCCUGGUAGUCCACGCCGUANACGAUGAUUACUAGGUGUCGGNGGACCAAGGUCCUCCGGUGCCGGCGCAAACGCAUUAAG